UUUUUUGUACUUAAUUAUAACUCCUCUUGUUGGGAUUGAUCCUAAUGAGAUGUAACAGAACAAAUAUUAUAUGUCAAGCUACAGUACAGGUCAUUAAGGCUUCACACACACACCUCACCGAAUCAGGCUAAUUAACUGCAGUGUAGUUAUGUCAUUUCUCCUAAAAUAGCUGUCAACAUUAACUUGAAACUUACUUCCCAUAUAAUGUUGUCUGAGAAUAUAGCAACAGUCUUGUUGCAUUUAGUGACCUUUUAUUCUUUUAUUAACAAAUAGAACAAUGAUUCAUCUUGCACAACUUACUCGUGUAGUCAGUCUGCAGUUUACUGCCCAGCUACCUCCUUCGCCUUGGUAAUAGCAGCAAUAUUUUGGCUUCAUCUGCGGGGUUUGUUCUACUGCCAACACUGCUCUUAUUAUAAAUCUCUUCAAAAUCAUCUAUUCUGGGCUGCGCGUUACCCCGUGUGAGCGCACAAUGCAAACUUGUUCAAGUCUGGGUAGAAUCAACACUGACGAUGGAAAUCCCCCAGAUGUUGGCUGUAUCCCAAUUCAUGGGCUGCAUUCUUGUGACAUUCAAAGGCCGCGUCAACCAUUGCUAAAUGGGACUUCGGAGCAUUUCCUGGUUGCAUCACCAAAUGUUCCUGCCCUUACAUCAUGAUUUCUGCCAGCCAGGCCUGCGAAGGUUUGAUGAGUGAUUGCAGGCUGCCCCGGGGAGCUGACUGGCUGCUGCCUUGGAGCCAGAAAUUUAAGGGCCGGCUCCUCCCAGUUCCUGGAGGCUCUCCUUCUUUGUCCCAGACUGCCAACAUGUCUGAUUUUGUACAAGCUAUGUUUUUGAAUAAAACUAUUUAAAAACGCUUCGCUGCUGGUGGUGCUUGGGGGGACAGGAAGAGGGAAGUCUCAUUUUCAUGUUGCGCCAGGGUUUCCCCUAGGCCCUGGUCUCA
Long non-coding RNA from Acanthopagrus latus (yellowfin seabream), 935 nucleotides. RefSeq lists it as uncharacterized. The record is from RefSeq and is a predicted model, not a curated record. NCBI's taxonomy places the organism in Eukaryota, Metazoa, Chordata, Actinopteri, Spariformes, Sparidae. The transcript is spliced from 3 exons.